GAGACUGCAACCACUGCUUACAAUACACGUCAAAAAUAAUUAAAAUAAGAAGGUACUCAAGAAUUUGACAACAGCCAUCAGAAUAGUGGAAGAGAAAACACUAUCACCUGUUGUUAAAAUCAGUACUUAACAUUAAUUUUUCUUGACAGGACAUGUAUGUCAUCUACUUCCUUGUCACCUACUUACAUGAAUGUUAGAAAAUACUCAAGGCACCUUGAUUGUAGAUAAGCUACACAUGGAUUUAAAAUGGGAUAAAGCUUUGCAAUAAAUGUGGAGAAUGAUGGUAGGGAUUGUUAAUGGAUACAAGAUAGGGAUUGUUAAUGGAGAU
This 328-nucleotide long non-coding RNA is filed under the name Nicotiana benthamiana. RNAcentral's name for it is "long non-coding RNA (NBEN_LNC001941)". The record is from RNAcentral. Lineage: Eukaryota; Viridiplantae; Streptophyta; Magnoliopsida; Solanales; Solanaceae.